RNAcentral lists this ribosomal RNA (247 nucleotides) under uncultured bacterium. Its description in RNAcentral is "partial 16S ribosomal RNA". It matches the Rfam family "Bacterial small subunit ribosomal RNA", at positions 523 to 769 of the family's 1533-position model. The record is from RNAcentral.
AUACGGAGGAUCCGAGCGUUAUCCGGAUUUAUUGGGUUUAAAGGGAGCGUAGGCGGCAGGUUAAGUCAGUUGUGAAAGUUUGCGGCUCAACCGUAAAAUUGCAGUUGAUACUGGCCUGCUUGAGUGCGGCAGAGGCAGGCGGAAUUUGUGGUGUAGCGGUGAAAUGCUUAGAUAUCACGAAGAACUCCGAUUGCGAAGGCAGCUUGCUGGAGCGUAACUGACGCUGAUGCUCGAAAGUGCGGGUAUC